RNAcentral lists this transfer RNA (71 nucleotides) under Marmota monax (woodchuck). RNAcentral's name for it is "tRNA.Ala". The stretch from base 6 to 66 matches the Rfam family "tRNA", at positions 6 to 65 of the family's 71-position model. From Rfam's summary of the family: Transfer RNA (tRNA) molecules are approximately 80 nucleotides in length. Lineage: Eukaryota; Metazoa; Chordata; Mammalia; Rodentia; Sciuridae. The record is from RNAcentral.
GAGGAUGUGGCUCAGUGGUAGAGCGCAUGCCCAGCAUGCAUGAGGCACUGGGUUAGAUCCUCAGCACUACA